AUUGAACGCUGGCGGCAUGCCUUACACAUGCAAGUCGAACGGUAACAGGUCUUCGGAUGCUGACGAGUGGCGGACGGGGGAGUAAUACAUCGGAACGUGCCCGAUCGUGGGGGAUAACGAAGCGAAAGCUUUGCUAAUACCGCAUACUAUCUACGGAUGAAAGCAGGGGACCGCAAGGCCUUGCGCGAACUUGGCGGCCGAUGGCAGAUUAGGUAGUUGGAGGGAUAAAAGCCUACCAAGCCGACGAUCUGUAGCUGGUCUGAGAGGACGAGCAGCCACACUGGGACUGAGACACGGCCCAGACUCCUACGGGAGGCAGCAGUGGGGAAUUUUGGACAAUGGGCGAAAGCCUGAUCCAGCCAUGCCGCGUGCAGGAUGAAGGCCUUCGGGUUGUAAACUGCUUUUGUACGGAACGAAAAGACUCUGGUUAAUACCUGGGGUCCAUGACGGUACCGUAAGAAUAAGCACCGGCUAACUACGUG
Molecule: ribosomal RNA, 482 nt
Filed under: uncultured bacterium
Lineage: Bacteria
Description: partial 16S ribosomal RNA
Rfam family: Bacterial small subunit ribosomal RNA
Source: RNAcentral